GAGAGAGAGACAUGCGCGCAUAUCAAUAAGCGGAGGAAAAGAAACUAACAAGGAUUCCCCUAGUAACGGCGAGUGAAGCGGGAAGAGCUCAAAUUUGAAAUCUUAAAGGGUUUCCCUUUACGAAUUGUAGUUUAAAGAAGUGUUUUCUGUUGAGGUUUUGGUAAAAGUUCUUUGGAAUAGGACAUCAUAGAGGGUGAGAAUCCCGUAUUUGACCUUUACUUUCAACUUUGUGAUACACUUUCAAAGAGUCGGAUUGUUUGGGAAUGCAGUCCAAAAUGGGUGGUAAAUUUCAUCUAAAGCUAAAUAUUGGCGAGAGACCGAUAGCGAACAAGUACCGUGAGGGAAAGAUGAAAAGAACUUUGAAAAGAGAGUUAAACAGUACGUGAAAUUGUCAAAAGGGAAGCGUUUGACACCAGUGUUGUUUUUCUGAAAAUCAAUUAAAGAACUGUUUAUGCUAAGUUGUUUAGACUUUAUCAGCUAACUGUUUAGUUUUGAGCUUUUCUUUAAUGCACUUUUCAGUUAACAAGUCAACAUCAAUUUCUUUUGCUGUAAAAAAGCUUGAGGAAGGUGGCUUGAGAUUCGUCUUAAGUGUUUAUAGCCUCUUGCCUAUGCAGUCGGAGAGAUUGAGGUCUGCAGCGUAGAUCCUUCGGGGCUAAAUGCAUUUGUGCUAAGUUAUAGCAUUUUAUAGACAACUUGUUGACUAUGAUUUGUCUUGUAGCUUACUCGCUUAUGUUAUUUUACCUACGCUUAGGAUGUUGACGCAUGAGAUAUACGC
This 775-nucleotide ribosomal RNA is filed under the name uncultured Neocallimastigales. Its description in RNAcentral is "partial large subunit ribosomal RNA". It matches the Rfam family "Eukaryotic large subunit ribosomal RNA", at positions 23 to 646 of the family's 3401-position model. Lineage: Eukaryota; Fungi; Neocallimastigomycota; Neocallimastigomycetes; Neocallimastigales. The record is from RNAcentral.